Dipodomys ordii (Ord's kangaroo rat) is the source of this 65-nucleotide non-coding RNA. The record is from Rfam. Lineage: Eukaryota; Metazoa; Chordata; Mammalia; Rodentia; Heteromyidae.
GGUGGCUCAGUGGUAGAGCGCUUGCCUCGCAUGCAUGAAGCCCUUGGUUCAACUCCUCAGCACCA